This 301-nucleotide ribosomal RNA is filed under the name uncultured bacterium. RNAcentral's name for it is "partial 16S ribosomal RNA". It matches the Rfam family "Bacterial small subunit ribosomal RNA", at positions 509 to 808 of the family's 1533-position model. The record is from RNAcentral.
CAGUCGCCACGGGAAUACGUAGGUCCCGAGCGUUGUCCGGAAUUACUGGGCGUAAAGCGUGCGCAGGCGGUUGUGUAAGACAGGUGUGAAAUCCCCGGGCUUAACCUGGUAACUGCGCUUGUGACUGCACAGCUAGAGUAUGGCAGAGGGGGGUGGAAUUCCACGUGUAGCAGUGAAAUGCGUAGAGAUGUGGAGGAACACCGAUGGCGAAGGCAGCCCCCUGGGCCAAUACUGACGCUCAUGCACGAAAGCGUGGGGAGCAAACAGGAUUAGAUACCCGGUAGUCCCUGUCUCUUAUACA